GCAUUAUACCGCGAAACUGCGAAUGGCUCAUUAAAUCAGUUAUCGUUUAUUUGAUAGUACCUUACUACUUGGAUAACCGUGGUAAUUCUAGAGCUAAUACAUGCUAAAAAUCCCAACUUCGGAAGGGAUGUAUUUAUUAGAUUAAAAACCAAUGCCCUUCGGGGCUCUCUGGUGAUUCAUGAUAACUUCUCGAAUCGCAUGGCCUUGCGCCGGCGAUGGUUCAUUCAAAUUUCUGCCCUAUCAACUUUCGACUGCUGGGUCUUGGCCAGCAAUGGUGACAACGGGUAACGGAGGGUUAGGGCUCGACCCCGGAGAAGGAGCCUGAGAGACGGCUACUACAUCCAAGGAAGGCAGCAGGCGCGCAAAUUACCCAAUCCCGACACGGGGAGGUAGUGACAAUAAAUACUGAUACAGGGCUCUUUUGGGUCUUGUAAUUGGAAUGAGUACAAUUUAAAUCCCUUAACGAGGAACAAUUGGAGGGCAAGUCUGGUGCCAGCAGCCGCGGUAAUUCCAGCUCCAAUAGCGUAUAUUAAAGUUGUUGCAGUUAAAAAGCUCGUAGUUGAACCUUGGGCCUGGCCGGCCGGUCCGCCUCACCGCGUGCACUGGUACGGUCGGGCCUUUCCCUCUGGGGAACCCCAUGCCCUUCACUGGGCGUGUGGGGAAACCAGGACUUUUACUUUGAAAAAAUUAGAGUGUUCAAAGCAGGCCUAUGCUCGAAUACAUUAGCAUGGAAUAAUAGAAUAGGACGUGCGGUUCUAUUUUGUUGGUUUCUAGGACCGCCGUAAUGAUUAAUAGGGACAGUCGGGGGCAUCAGUAUUCAAUUGUCAGAGGUGAAAUUCUUGGAUUUAUUGAAGACUAACUACUGCGAAAGCAUUUGCCAAGGAUGUUUUCAUUAAUCAGGAACGAAAGUUAGGGGAUCGAAGACGAUUAUCUGGUCGUCUAGAGUGCCACGUCUGGCGCUAGUCCGCCCCCUCCCCAGGGAGGGCGCCGGGCGACACCGUCAAAUUGCGGGGACAUCCUAAAGGCCUGUGCUACACCUGCCCGCUAGAAAUAGCGGGCAGUCGUAAAAGUGCCAGGCAUGAUGGGGGUGCUAUACACCCCUGAAAUGGACAAUCCGCAGCCAAGUCCUACGAGCCUUUGGUGCUUACGGAUGCAGUUCACAGACUAGACGGCGGUGGGAGGCCAGUGCCUCUUAAGAUAUAGUCGAGCCGGGGUCGAAAGGCCGUUGGGAUAGUUGCAGAUACCGUCGUAGUCUUAACCAUAAACUAUGCCGACUAGGGAUCGGACGAUGUUACUUUUUGACUCGUUCGGCACCUUACACGAAAGUACAAGUUUCUGGGU
RNAcentral lists this ribosomal RNA (1341 nucleotides) under Distoseptispora suoluoensis. RNAcentral's name for it is "SSU rRNA". It matches the Rfam family "Eukaryotic small subunit ribosomal RNA", at positions 71 to 1112 of the family's 1831-position model. The record is from RNAcentral. Lineage: Eukaryota; Fungi; Ascomycota; Sordariomycetes; Distoseptisporaceae.